Molecule: non-coding RNA, 135 nt
Organism: Triticum aestivum (bread wheat)
Lineage: Eukaryota; Viridiplantae; Streptophyta; Magnoliopsida; Poales; Poaceae
Source: Rfam
UAAAUACUCCCUCCGUCCAAAAAUUCUUGUCUUAAAUUUGUCUACAUAUGAAUGUGUCUAUUCAUAUUUUAGUGUUAGAUACAUCCAUAUCUAGAUAAAUCUAAGAUAAGAAUUUUGAGACGGAGGGAGUAUAAG